This 607-nucleotide long non-coding RNA is filed under the name Cricetulus griseus (Chinese hamster). RNAcentral's name for it is "lncRNA (ENSCGRG00000024686.1)". Lineage: Eukaryota; Metazoa; Chordata; Mammalia; Rodentia; Cricetidae. The record is from RNAcentral.
AUAAGCAAAUUAAUAAAUGGAAUACAGGGAGUGGUGGUGUCUCUUCACAACAAUAAAAAUCCUAACUAAGACACAUGCUUAGCAUGCCUGAGGCUCUGGGAAUAUUCCUAGCACCUUCCAUACAGUGAAAAUAAAUCAAAACAAAAGCAGGAAAAGAUAUGGCUGAUAAGAGAACUUUUAAAAAAUUCAUUUUUUUCUUUUAAUCAUUUCAGAAAGUUUUUGUUUUGUUUUACUUUUAAGAUGGUCCCAAAAGGCAGUCUAGGCUACCAUUCGAGUCAUGAUCUUCCUGUCUCUGCCUCUGAAUUGCUGGGAUUACAGAUGAGCACCACAUUUCCUGGCUCUUAAACAUCCACAUUGACAGAACCAGUACACUACUGACCACUCUGAGAAAAUGCUUGUGGGAUGGUCACUCUUUGAGAAACAGUACGACAAGACAGGAGUGGAGCAAAACACAUAGGCACGUGGACACAGCACCAAGAACUGAGAACCAACAGCUCAAGAGAAGAGGAGUGCAAAAGGAGAGCAUGGGUAUUGAGAAAGAAUAGCCGAAUGCUUCUUUCAUUCAAGGCUAAGUAGAGCAAAUAACAGAAAUGCUACAAGCUUUUAU